This is a long non-coding RNA of Homo sapiens (human), 727 nucleotides long. Ensembl annotates it as HORMAD2 and MTMR3 antisense RNA 1. Its record names the gene HORMAD2-AS1. The record is from Ensembl. NCBI's taxonomy places the organism in Eukaryota, Metazoa, Chordata, Mammalia, Primates, Hominidae.
AAACCCGCUCCUCGGCUCAUGAAUAGUCAACGAGGCCUUUCUGGGCGGGACCAGAGGUUUCCUCAUGAAUAAUUCAUGACCCGUCCACGGCUAGCCUGGGCGACCGGCCUCGCUAGACUUCAUGAAUAUGCAAAGCAGGGGCGAACGGCGGCUAGCCGGCCCCUAGCCCGCCCGGCCCCUCAGCAGCCGCCUCUCAGCCACGGGCUGCACACUGACCCGACGCGACCUUCGGUCAGGGGCCGCCAGCCUGGGCCACCUAUACAACGACAGCCUGCUCCGGGGCUUCCUGAGGAGGUGCCUGCCCCGCCGAGGUUCAACAGCUUUGGAGAGCAGGACAUCUUUUCCUCUCAGCCUGGCCCUCUGCAAUGGAGGCCAUAAAUAGGCCAGUAGUGGAAGCUACAGAACACGUGAGCAUGGCAGGGGCUGAGCUCCAUUUCAAGGCUUGUAAGGACCCUUGUGAUGACAUUGGUCCUACCCAGACUACCUAGGAUAAUCUCCCAUCUCAAAGUCCUCAUCUUAAUCCCAUCUGCAAGGUCCCUUUUGCAAUUUAAGAUAACAUAUUCAACAGGUUCCGGGAAUGAGAACAUGGAUGUCUUUGGAGAGCCAUUAUUCUGCCUACCACAGAUAUAACCUGGCUGUUACCACCAAGGGUUGGAAUGAGGAUCAUUCUGGGACUGCUGCAAGAGGCUGGAAACUGGAACCAAGUGCUACCUUCAUGGUAAGAAGC